CCGAAUGCCAAAGACUUAUCCUUGGGAGUCAGACUGCGAGUGAUAAGAUCCGUAGUCGAAAGGGAAACAGCCCAGACCGCCAGCUAAGGUCCCAAAGUAUACGUUAAGUGGAAAAGGAUGUGGAGUUGCUUAGACAACCAGGAUGUUGGCUUAGAAGCAGCCACCAUUGAAAGAGUGCGUAAUAGCUCACUGGUCGAGUGACUCUGCGCCGAAAAUGUCCCGGGGCUAAACGUAUCACCGAAGCUGCGGACUGUUCUUGCGAACAGUGGUAGGAGAGCGUUCUAAGGGCUGUGAAGCGAGACCGGAAGGACUCGUGGAGCGCUUAGAAGUGAGAAUGCCGGUAUGAGUAGCGAAAGAGGGGUGAGAAUCCCCUCCACCGAAUGCCUAAGGUUUCCUGAGGAAGGCUCGUCCGCUCAGGGUUAGUCGGGACCUAAGCCGAGGCCGAAAGGCGUAGGCGAUGGACAACAGGUUGAUAUUCCUGUACCACCUCCUCACCAUUUGAGCAAUGGGGGGACGCAGGAGGAUAGGGUAAGCGCGGUAUUGGAUAUCCGCGUCCAAGCAGUUAGGCUGGGAAAUAGGCAAAUCCGUUUCCCAUAAGGCUGAGCUGUGAUGGCGAGCGAAAUAUAGUAGCGAAGUUCCUGAUUCCACACUGCCAAGAAAAGCCUCUAGCGAGGUGAGAGGUGCCCGUACCGCAAACCGACACAGGUAGGCGAGGAGAGAAUCCUAAGGUGAUCGAGAGAACUCUCGUUAAGGAACUCGGCAAAAUGACCCCGUAACUUCGGGAGAAGGGGUGCUCUGUUAGGGUGCAAGCCCGAGAGAGCCGCAGUGAAUAGGCCCAGGCGACUGUUUAGCAAAAACACAGGUCUCUGCGAAGCCGUAAGGCGAAGUAUAGGGGCUGACGCCU
Molecule: ribosomal RNA, 904 nt
Filed under: Salmonella enterica subsp. enterica serovar Corvallis
Lineage: Bacteria; Pseudomonadati; Pseudomonadota; Gammaproteobacteria; Enterobacterales; Enterobacteriaceae
Description: partial 23S ribosomal RNA
Rfam family: Bacterial large subunit ribosomal RNA
Source: RNAcentral